CACUCCUACGGGAGGCAGCAGUGGGGAAUAUUGGACAAUGGGCGCAAGCCUGAUCCAGCCAUGCCGCGUGAGUGAUGAAGGCCCUAGGGUUGUAAAGCUCUUUCACCGGUGAAGAUAAUGACGGUAACCGGAGAAGAAGCCCCGGCUAACUUCGUGCCAGCAGCCGCGGUAAUACGAAGGGGGCUAGCGUUGUUCGGAUUUACUGGGCGUAAAGCGCACGUAGGCGGACUAUUAAGUCAGGGGUGAAAUCCCGGGGCUCAACCCCGGAACUGCCUUUGAUACUGGUAGUCUUGAGGUCGAGAGAGGUGAGUGGAAUUCCGAGUGUAGAGGUGAAAUUCGUAGAUAUUCGGAGGAACACCAGUGGCGAAGGCGGCUCACUGGCUCGAUACUGACGCUGAGGUGCGAAAGCGUGGGGAGCAAACAGGAUUAGAUACCCCAGUAGUCCCAUGA
This 450-nucleotide ribosomal RNA is filed under the name uncultured organism. RNAcentral's name for it is "partial 16S ribosomal RNA". It matches the Rfam family "Bacterial small subunit ribosomal RNA", at positions 334 to 800 of the family's 1533-position model. The record is from RNAcentral.